This 499-nucleotide ribosomal RNA is filed under the name uncultured bacterium. RNAcentral describes it as "partial 16S ribosomal RNA". It matches the Rfam family "Bacterial small subunit ribosomal RNA", at positions 28 to 507 of the family's 1533-position model. The record is from RNAcentral.
GACGAACGCUGGCGGCGUGCCUAAUACAUGCAAGUCGAGCGAAGUUUUUCUGGUGCUUGCACCGGAAAAACUUAGCGGCGAACGGGUGAGUAACACGUAAAGAACCUGCCUCAUAGACUGGGACAACUAUUGGAAACGAUAGCUAAUACCGGAUAACAGCAUUAACUGCAUGGUUGAUGUUUAAAAGUUGGUUUUGCUAACACUAUGAGAUGGCUUUGCGGUGCAUUAGCUAGUUGGUGGGGUAAAGGCCUACCAAGGCGACGAUGCAUAGCCGACCUGAGAGGGUGAUCGGCCACACUGGGACUGAGACACGGCCCAGACUCCUACGGGAGGCAGCAGUAGGGAAUCUUCCGCAAUAGGCGAAAGCCUGACGGAGCAACGCCGCGUGAGUGAAGAAGGAUUUCGGUUCGUAAAGCUCUGUUGUUAGGGAAGAAUGAUUGUGUAGUAACUAUACACAGUAGAGACGGUACCUAACCAGAAAGCCACGGCUAACUACGUG